RNAcentral lists this ribosomal RNA (226 nucleotides) under Escherichia coli. Its description in RNAcentral is "partial 23S ribosomal RNA". It matches the Rfam family "Bacterial large subunit ribosomal RNA", at positions 2705 to 2925 of the family's 2925-position model. Lineage: Bacteria; Pseudomonadati; Pseudomonadota; Gammaproteobacteria; Enterobacterales; Enterobacteriaceae. RNAcentral also lists the same sequence under 6 other names. The record is from RNAcentral.
AUCACUGGUGUUCGGGUUGUCAUGCCAAUGGCACUGCCCGGUAGCUAAAUGCGGAAGAGAUAAGUGCUGAAAGCAUCUAAGCACGAAACUUGCCCCGAGAUGAGUUCUCCCUGAGACUUAGAGUCUCCUGAAGGAACGUUGAAGACGACGACGUUGAUAGGCCGGGUGUGUAAGCGCAGCGAUGCGUUGAGCUAACCGGUACUAAUGAACCGUGAGGCUUAACCUU